UUUUUCAUUAUCACAUGUCUUUCUUUUGAGAUUUUUAAAUUUUUCUCAACAUAAAACUUGAAGUAGACACAAUAAGAUUUCCAAUGCAUUUUGUCCCACCUCAAAAUCAUAAAAAAUGAAUGAUUUAUGUUGUUGGGAAGUUGACCCAAAAUUAGGGUUUCAGUCAAAAUGACCUAUAAUGUCUUGGAAUGGAUGAUGAUCUUCCAAGCCUCAAAUGGAUUUUUGAUGAACA
This 232-nucleotide long non-coding RNA is filed under the name Lathyrus oleraceus (garden pea). RNAcentral's name for it is "Pisum sativum (pea) long non-coding RNA (PSAT_LNC033013)". The record is from RNAcentral. Lineage: Eukaryota; Viridiplantae; Streptophyta; Magnoliopsida; Fabales; Fabaceae.